ACUCCUACGGGAGGCAGCAGUGGGGAAUCUUGGACAAUGGGGGCAACCCUGAUCCAGCCAUGCCGCGUGAGUGAUGAAGGCCUUAGGGUCGUAAAGCUCUUUCGCCUGUGAAGAUAAUGACGGUAGCAGGUAAAGAAACCCCGGCUAACUCCGUGCCAGCAGCCGCGGUAAUACGGAGGGGGUUUAGCGUUUGUUUCGGAAUUUACUGGGCGUAAAGCGCACGUAGGCGGAUCGGAAAGUUGGGGUGAAAUCCCGGGCUCAACCCCGGAACGGCCUCCAAAACUAUCGGUCUAGAGUUCGAGAGAGGUGAGUGGAAUUCCGAGUGUAGAGGUGAAAUUCGUAGAUAUUCGGAGGAACACCAGUGGCGAAGGCGGCUCACUGGCUCGAUACUGACGCUGAGGUGCGAAAGUGUGGGAGCAAACAGGAUUAGAUACCCUGGUAGGACAGUG
This 449-nucleotide ribosomal RNA is filed under the name uncultured bacterium. RNAcentral describes it as "bacterial SSU rRNA". It matches the Rfam family "Bacterial small subunit ribosomal RNA", at positions 335 to 804 of the family's 1533-position model. The record is from RNAcentral.